This 445-nucleotide ribosomal RNA is filed under the name uncultured bacterium. Its description in RNAcentral is "partial 16S ribosomal RNA". It matches the Rfam family "Bacterial small subunit ribosomal RNA", at positions 354 to 796 of the family's 1533-position model. The record is from RNAcentral.
GUGAGGAAUAUUGGUCAAUGGGCGAGAGCCUGAACCAGCCAAGUCGCGUGAAGGAAGAAGGAUCUAUGGUUCGUAAACUUCUUUUGCAGGGGAAUAAAGUGCAGGACGUGUUCUGUUUUGUAUGUACCCUGAGAAUAAGGAUCGGCUAACUCCGUGCCAGCAGCCGCGGUAAUACGGAGGAUCCGAGCGUUAUCCGGAUUUAUUGGGUUGAAAGGGUGCGUAGGUGGUUUGAUAAGUCAGCGGUGAAAGUUUGCAGCUUAACUGUAAAAAUGCCGUUAGAACGGUCGGACUUGAGUGUAAAUGAGGUAGGCGGAAUACGUGGUGUAGCGGUAAAAUACAUAGAUAUCACGAAGAACUCCGAUUGCGAAGGCAGCUUACUAAGCUACAACUGACACUGAACCACGAAAGCGUGGUGAUCAAACAGGAUUAGAAACCCUUGUAGUCC